GCGGCUAUGGCGGAAUUGGUAGACGCGCUAUCUUGAGGGGGUAGUGUCCUUGACGUGUGAAUUCGAAUUUCACUAGCCGCACCA
This 84-nucleotide transfer RNA is filed under the name Tenericutes bacterium ADurb.BinA124. RNAcentral describes it as "tRNA-Leu". The record is from RNAcentral. RNAcentral also lists the same sequence under 1 other name. Lineage: Bacteria; Bacillati; Mycoplasmatota.